GAUGAACGCUGGCGGCGUGCCUAAUACAUGCAAGUCGAGCGAACAGAUAAGGAGCUUGCUCCUUUGAAGUUAGCGGCGGACGGGUGAGUAACACGUGGGUAACCUACCUAUAAGACUGGGAUAACUUCGGGAAACCGGAGCUAAUACCGGAUAACAUUUAGAACCGCAUGGUUCUAAAGUGAAAGAUGGUUUUGCUAUCACUUAUAGAUGGACCCGCGCCGUAUUAGCUAGUUGGUAAGGUAACGGCUUACCAAGGCGACGAUACGUAGCCGACCUGAGAGGGUGAUCGGCCACACUGGAACUGAGACACGGUCCAGACUCCUACGGGAGGCAGCAGUAGGGAAUCUUCCGCAAUGGGCGAAAGCCUGACGGAGCAACGCCGCGUGAGUGAUGAAGGGUUUCGGCUCGUAAAACUCUGUUAUUAGGGAAGAACAAAUGUGUAAGUAACUGUGCACAUCUUGACGGUACCUAAUCAGAAAGCCACGGCUAACUACGUGCCAGCAGCCGCGGUAAUACGUAGGUGGCAAGCGUUAUCCGGAAUUAUUGGGCGUAAAGCGCGCGUAGGCGGUUUCUUAAGUCUGAUGUGAAAGCCCACGGCUCAACCGUGGAGGGUCAUUGGAAACUGGGAAACUUGAGUGCAGAAGAGGAAAGUGGAAUUCCAUGUGUAGCGGUGAGAUGCGCAGAGAUAUGGAGGAACACCAGUGGCGAAGGCGACUUUCUGGUCUGUAACUGACGCUGAUGUGCGAAAGCGUGGGGAUCAAACAGGAUUAGAUACCCUGGUAGUCCACGCCGUAAACGAUGAGUGCUAAGUGUUAGGGGGGUUUCCGCCCCUUAGUGCUGCAGCUAACGCAUUAAGCACUCCGCCUGGGGAGUACGACCGCAAGGUUGAAACUCAAAGGAAUUGACGGGGACCCGCACAAGCGGUGGAGCAUGUGGUUUAAUUCGAAGCAACGCGAAGAACCUUACCAAAUCUUGACAUCCUUUGAAAACUCUAGAGAUAGAGCCUUCCCCUUCGGGGGACAAAGUGACAGGUGGUGCAUGGUUGUCGUCAGCUCGUGUCGUGAGAUGUUGGGUUAAGUCCCGCAACGAGCGCAACCCUUAAGCUUAGUUGCCAUCAUUAAGUUGGGCACUCUAGGUUGACUGCCGGUGACAAACCGGAGGAAGGUGGGGAUGACGUCAAAUCAUCAUGCCCCUUAUGAUUUGGGCUACACACGUGCUACAAUGGACAAUACAAAGGGCAGCUAAACCGCGAGGUCAUGCAAAUCCCAUAAAGUUGUUCUCAGUUCGGAUUGUAGUCUGCAACUCGACUACAUGAAGCUGGAAUCGCUAGUAAUCGUAGAUCAGCAUGCUACGGUGAAUACGUUCCCGGGUCU
RNAcentral lists this ribosomal RNA (1373 nucleotides) under uncultured bacterium. Its description in RNAcentral is "bacterial SSU rRNA". It matches the Rfam family "Bacterial small subunit ribosomal RNA", at positions 28 to 1381 of the family's 1533-position model. The record is from RNAcentral.